GUGCCUGUCUCAAAGAUUAAGCCAUGCAUGUGCAAGUUCAACUUGGAAAAGUGAAACCGCGAAUGGCUCAUUAAAUCAGUUACGAUCUCUUUGUUCACUAACGCAGCUACAUGAAUAACUGCGGUAACCCUGCAGCUAAUGCAUGCAAAUUUCAUCUUGAUAACCCUUUAUUGGGCAAUGUGAACUUUUAUUGCUGAUCAAUGACGACCUUCUUGGGCUAUUGGGUAGCACCGCGUAUGUGACGAUUCGUAACUGACCGAUCCCAGAUGGCUUUAUGCCGGGGGACGGAACUUUCGAGUUUUGAGCUAUCAACCUUUGACGGUAGGGUAACGGCCUACCGUGGUUGUGACAGCUAACGGGGAAUCAGGGUUCGAUUCCGGAGAGGCAGCCUGAGAGACGGCUACCACAUCCAAGGAAGGCAGCAGGCACGCAAAUUACCCACUUCUAGCACGGAGAGGUAGUGACGAGAAAUAACACUAUGAACCCUUGUGGUUUGUAAGUGGAAUGGACUGAAUGUAUAGAAUUCAGUGAUUAACGAGUGGAGGGCAAGUCUGGUCCAGCAGCCGCGGUAAUCCAGCCUCCACAAGCGUAUGCAAAAGUUGCUGCGUUUAAAAAGCUCAUAGUUGGAUCUGUUUACGGUAUUACGGUAACAUCUGAUGACGGUUUACCUGAUUCAGCGUAAUGCUUGUACCUUCGCAUCGAUUAGAUUGUUUGCACUUAACCGUGUCGAACUUUCGAAGCGGUGUUUUCACUUUGAGAAAAUUAGAGUGUUCAAAGCGUCCUUUGGGAUUGAAUAAUAAAGCAUGGAAUAAUGGAGAAUGACCCGCGUUUCUUGAAGCAAGGUUGCGGAGAUGCGGUAAUGAUUAAAAAGGAACAGGCGGGGGCCAUUUGUAUUGCUUAGGUUAAAGGUGAAAUUCUUGGAUCCUAGCAAGACAAACUUACUGGAAAAGCAUUUGCCAAAAUUUUCAUUAAUCAAGACGAAAGUUAAGAGUAUUGAAAAGGCUUAAACCCCUCGGUAAUUCUACCUUUAAACUAUACCAACUUUACGACUUGUCAAAAGUCCUAAAUGACUUGACGAGGAGUUACCGGGAAACCAAAGUUUAUUGGUUCCGGGGGAAGUAUGGUUGCAAAAUCGAAACUUAAAGGAAUUGACGGAAGGGCACCACCAGGAGUGGAGCCUGCGGCUUAAUUUGACUCAACACGGGAAAACUCACCAGGUCCAGACAUCUUAAGGAUUGACAGAUUGAAUCUCUUUCACAAUCAUAUGGGCGGUGGUGCAUGGCCGUUCUUAGUUAGUGGAGUGAUUUGUCUGCUUAAUUGCGAUAACGAACGAGAUCUCUCCCAUUUUAAUAGUGAUAGCCACUUAAUGUGGUUAAUUACUUCUUAGAGGAACCAAGCAGAAUUAAAUACUGCGGGUGAAGUGAGGUUAUAACAGGUCUGUGAUGCCCUUAGAUGUUCUGGACUGCACGCGCGCUACAAUGUGAUCUUCACUAUGAUACUGAUACCAUUGACCGAGAAGGUCUGGGUAAUCAGUAAAAGCUCAAACCAUAAAGGGGAUCGACUUUUGCAACUUGCAGUCGUGAACCAGGAAUUCCUAGUAAGUAGAAGUCAACAACUUCUACUGAUUAUGUCCCUGCCCUUUGUCACACCGCCCGUCGCUACUACUGAUUGGGUAGGUAAGCAAGAACUUCGGAUAUUCUCUGUCAAUACUUCGGUUGAGGCAAAGAAGGGUCAAGCUUAUCUGUCUAGAGGAAGUAAAAGUC
RNAcentral lists this ribosomal RNA (1763 nucleotides) under Amphiscolops sp. AW-2009. RNAcentral's name for it is "SSU rRNA". It matches the Rfam family "Eukaryotic small subunit ribosomal RNA". The record is from RNAcentral. Lineage: Eukaryota; Metazoa; Xenacoelomorpha; Acoela; Convolutidae.